This 253-nucleotide ribosomal RNA is filed under the name uncultured bacterium. RNAcentral's name for it is "partial 16S ribosomal RNA". It matches the Rfam family "Bacterial small subunit ribosomal RNA", at positions 524 to 776 of the family's 1533-position model. The record is from RNAcentral.
UACAGAGGUCCCAAGCGUUGUUCGGAUUCACUGGGCGUAAAGGGUGCGUAGGCGGCAUUGCAAGUCGGAUGUGAAAUCCCUCGGCUUAACCAAGGAAGUGCAUCCGAAACUGCAGUGCUUGAGUACUUAAGAGGAUCGCGGAAUUCCCGGUGUAGAGGUGAAAUUCGUAGAUAUCGGGAGGAACACCAGUGGCGAAGGCGGCGAUCUGGGAAGAUACUGACGCUGAGGUGCGAAAGCGUGGGGAGCAAACAGG